UCAGGAUGAACGCUGGCGGCGUGCCUAAUACAUGCAAGUCGAGCGAACAGAUAAGGAGCUUGCUCCUUUGACGUUAGCGGCGGACGGGUGAGUAACACGUGGAUAACCUACCUAUAAGACUGGGAUAACUUCGGGAAACCGGAGCUAAUACCGGAUAACAUUUUGAACCGCAUGGUUCAAUAGUGAAAGACGGCCUUGCUGUCACUUAUAGAUGGAUCCGCGCCGUAUUAGCUAGUUGGUAAGGUAACGGCUUACCAAGGCAACGAUACGUAGCCGACCUGAGAGGGUGAUCGGCCACACUGGAACUGAGACACGGUCCAGACUCCUACGGGAGGCAGCAGUAGGGAAUCUUCCGCAAUGGGCGAAAGCCUGACGGAGCAACGCCGCGUGAGUGAUGAAGGUCUUCGGAUCGUAAAACUCUGUUAUCAGGGAAGAACAAACGUGUAAGUAACUGUGCACUUCUUGACGGUACCUGAUCAGAAAGCCACGGCUAACUACGUGCCAGCAGCCGCGGUAAUACGUAGGUGGCAAGCGUUAUCCGGAAUUAUUGGGCGUAAAGCGCGCGUAGGCGGUUUUUUAAGUCUGAUGUGAAAGCCCACGGCUCAACCGUGGAGGGUCAUUGGAAACUGGAAAACUUGAGUGCAGAAGAGGAAAGUGGAAUUCCAUGUGUAGCGGUGAAAUGCGCAGAGAUAUGGAGGAACACCAGUGGCGAAGGCGACUUUCUGGUCUGUAACUGACGCUG
RNAcentral lists this ribosomal RNA (742 nucleotides) under Staphylococcus sp. SMCC G930. RNAcentral's name for it is "bacterial SSU rRNA". It matches the Rfam family "Bacterial small subunit ribosomal RNA", at positions 24 to 748 of the family's 1533-position model. The record is from RNAcentral. Lineage: Bacteria; Bacillati; Bacillota; Bacilli; Caryophanales; Staphylococcaceae.